This is a long non-coding RNA of Rana temporaria (common frog), 2592 nucleotides long. RefSeq lists it as uncharacterized. NCBI's taxonomy places the organism in Eukaryota, Metazoa, Chordata, Amphibia, Anura, Ranidae. The transcript has 2 exons. The record is from RefSeq and is a predicted model, not a curated record.
AAAAGCUCACAUCGGACUUUUCUUGUUGGAAUUUCCGAUCGUGUGUACGCAGCAUUAGAGUUAGGACUACAGAAAAUGGAGUUCCUUGACAGGGCCUGUAGCUUAAACAUGUAUUUGUAAAUCCCCCUUAAUGCAUAUUGUUAGACAGGUCAUAUCGGUUGGUUGGUCGCUGGCUUGUAAGUUUGAACUUGGAAAUCUCUUUGUAUUUGUUUGACUUCCCAUCUGCUGUCAGAAUAAAAUCAAGCCAGACUGCUCAGCCAUUCACAUCAAGCCUUGUAUUUUAUCAAUAAAUACAAGGAUUCCUCUGGCCUGUUUCUCCACCUCAGCCAGUCAGAGGAAGCCUUGCAAUAAUUGAUAAAGUACAUGGCUUCCUGUCAGGCUCUGGUGUUAAAGCCUUUCCAUGAUGCAUGUGUGAGGCCCUGUCUACAUCACCAGUGCCUUACUUAACUCGGAAGUGGAAAACCGUAAUUGUAAGUAAAAGCAAAACAUUUUUGUUUAACCAAUGAAUGUAAGAUGAUUUCAUAUCAGCAUGCGAUUUUUUUAUUGAAAGGGGGGAAAGCUUGGUUUAACAUUUAACUGUCUUCCUGUUACCCAUUAGCUUUUGACAUUAAAACUCUGCAAACCACUAAACGCUAUUGUAACAUACAAAAGUAAAUUCAUAUUUGUCUUCAGCCCAUCUUGCAAAUAAUACUCCCAUAAUGAUUACCGCGUGUCCCCCUACCAAAAAAUGACAGCUCUGCAUUCUGACAAAGCUCUUGGGGGGGAAUGAAGCACGUUAUUGCAUUACAGCAUCCUGGGAACCCCCAUGUGAGAGGUGCCUCCUCACACAUUCUUUUGUCAUCAGCAGAUGCAUAAAGCCAUCAGGUCUCUACGGAUACAGCCGCUGCUCCCAAUUUAUUUUUUUUUGUUUACAAAUGAUUUUUUACUGAAGCAAAGGAAAUUAUACAGUCAUAUGACAGUACAUAACAGAAAAUUAAUGUCAUAGGGACAAUUAUGAAAAUCAAAAUAAGGAACAAAAAUUCCGAAGCAUACAAAAGUCAUUAAAAAAAUACUGAUCGUUAAUAUCUGACAUAACUUAUACAUACAAAUGUAGGAGGAAGGUAUACCUGAGAGUAUUGCUUAUGCAAGGUCUGGAAACCUAGAUUGGCAUCUAGUCAUGUGAUAGUAAAAUAUGCCUAUGGGUUUUCCAAGCAUCCCAUCUACGCUCGAAUAAGUGCAUUUUAUCUUGUAAUGUAUACAAAAUCCUCUCCAUUAGUAUAACUGUAUCCAUUCUGUUUAGAACAGAGGACAGGAGUACUGCGGGGGUCUUCCAGUGCAGAGCAAUAGCCUAUAGGGUGGAUAUGCAAAUAGUGUUUAUAAGACAUUUUUCCUUUGUGGAAGAUACCUGGGAUUGAAGCUCCAAGAAGACACAUGGAGACUGUGAGCUGUAGAGGAGUACCUGAUAUUGCUGAAGCGAUGGCAGUCACUUUCUUCCAAACUCGAGAAAGUAGUUCACAGUCCCAAAAUACGUACUUAAAGGUACCUGGGAGCUUGCAGCCCCUGAAGCAUAGUCCCGAUGUCCCCGGAAAUAUGGCCUGAAGUCUGGAGGGGGUAUAAUACCACCUGGUCAAUACCUUGUAGGCCGUUUCUCUAACUGCCAAGGAUUUUGAGGCUUUGCGCAAGUUAUCCAACAUGGUGUCCCAGUCUUAUGGAGCCAACUGUUCAUCGGUCUGUCUCCCAUUUAUGUUUAUAUGGAGGUUCUCCCGGGAAACCCGAGGACAAAGCUGAUUUGUAGAGGAUUUCUUCCCAAUUUGACAUACGUGCAGGUGCGUGUUCAAGGCUGUGCACUCUAUGCCAAAUUGAGAGCACCUGUGCCCCAAUAGACAUGAAUGUGACUGCUUGCACAGAAAUGCCUGGAACACUUGUGCAUCCCCAUGCGGGUAAAUCUGACCCUUACUCGGGUGUACACUGUGUAGUACGCCCCAUGUGAGCGAAGCCUUAAGCACAACAACUGUGCAGCACUGCAAAGUAGUAAGCAGAGCCUGAAUAUCUAAUGAACAUUUGUCCCUGUGUACAUUUAUAAAUACAAAUUAUACACAGAAAUUGCUUUAAGACAUCAAUGAAAUUUGAUUAUAUAACAUCAAGGUGAUUUAAAAAAAAAAUGUAUACAGCACAUGUCCAUUUAAAAUGCAUAUACCUGCCACACACACAUUACAGGAACAUUUUUAUUUGAAAACUAAGUUGCAGGCACAUGCUUUUGUAAAUUACUGCAGAUGGUAGCAUUUGUGCAGACAUGGGGCAAUUGGUUGACUGAUGGGCAGAUUAGGAAAGGAUGUUGGAUUUAAACAAGUGCCAGUAGCUGAGCAAAGAUGAAAAUAAAAUACAGAGAAUAUUCUUCAAUUCCUCUGUUUCCUUUUUUAGUGAUUACAAGGAAAUUGGACAUCCUGAUCUGAUCUGGCAUUUGAUUUAAUUUUAAAAUAUUAAAAAUAAAAGGUUACUGUAACUUGUGAAACCCCAUUGUAACCGUCUAGUCUGUUUAUGACUCUGAAUGUUGUGGAACAUGCUGUUUUGUAUAUAUGCAAUUGUUUCAAUAAAGUUAUUUUUGAAAACAAA